UGGUGCUGCUGUGGAAAUCAGUAUGAUAGUUCUUCAAAAAUUAAACAUGGAACUACCAUAUGAUCCAGCAAUUCCACUUGCUUGUGGUAGCCAGGAUUUCGGGACUAAAAUGUGGAAGUGAAAUCCUAGAGAUCAAUGGAGGCUGGAAAUAAAUAAAAAUGUUUAAAAAAAAAAUC
Molecule: long non-coding RNA, 176 nt
Organism: Hyaena hyaena (striped hyena)
Lineage: Eukaryota; Metazoa; Chordata; Mammalia; Carnivora; Hyaenidae
Exons: 3
Source: RefSeq, a predicted model, not a curated record